GAUGAACGCUGGCGGCGUGCCUAACACAUGCAAGUCGAACGAAGCGCCUUAAAGGAAGUUUUCGGAUGGAAUUUGGGAUGACUGAGUGGCGGACGGGUGAGUAACGCGUGGAUAACCUGCCUCAUACAGGGGGAUAACAGCUAGAAAUGGCUGCUAAUACCGCAUAAGCGCACAGUGCCGCAUGGCAGUGUGUGAAAGACUCCGGUGGUAUGAGAUGGAUCCGCGUCUGAUUAGCCAGUUGGCGGGGUAACGCCCACCAAAGCGACGAUCAGUAGCCGGCCUGAGAGGGCGACCGGCCACAUUGGGACUGAGACACGGCCCAA
This 323-nucleotide ribosomal RNA is filed under the name uncultured bacterium. RNAcentral's name for it is "bacterial SSU rRNA". It matches the Rfam family "Bacterial small subunit ribosomal RNA", at positions 28 to 334 of the family's 1533-position model. The record is from RNAcentral.